AACACUUCUUCGGGCAUCCGAAGAGGUUGAAAGCUCCGGCGGUGAAGGAUGAGCCCGCGGCCUAUCAGCUUGUUGGUGGGGUAGUGGCCCACCAAGGCGACGACGGGUAGCCGGCCUGAGAGGGCGACCGGCCACACUGGGACUGAGACACGGCCCAGACUCCUACGGGAGGCAGCAGUGGGGAAUAUUGCACAAUGGGCGAAAGCCUGAUGCAGCGACGCCGCGUGAGGGAUGACGGCCUUCGGGUUGUAAACCUCUUUCAGCAGGGAAGAAGCGCAAGUGACGGUACCUGCAGAAGAAGCGCCGGCUAACUACGUGCUUUUUAUUUCGCGGUAAUACGUAGGGCGCAAGCGUUGUCCGGAAUUAUUGGGCGUAAAGAGCUCGUAGGCGGCCUGUCGCGUCGGAUGUGAAAGCCCGGGGCUUAACCCCGGGUCUGCAUUCGAUACGGGCAGGCUAGAGUGUGGUAGGGGAGAUCGGAAUUCCUGGUGUAGCGGUGAAAUGCGCAGAUAUCAGGAGGAACACCGGUGGCGAAGGCGGAUCUCUGGGCCAUUACUGACGCUGAGGAGCGAAAGCGUGGGGAGCGAACAGGAUUAGAUACCCUGGUAGUCCACGCCGUAAACGUUGGGAACUAGGUGUUGGCGACAUUCCACGUCGUC
RNAcentral lists this ribosomal RNA (656 nucleotides) under Streptomyces sp. Wb2n-2. RNAcentral's name for it is "bacterial SSU rRNA". It matches the Rfam family "Bacterial small subunit ribosomal RNA", at positions 173 to 841 of the family's 1533-position model. Lineage: Bacteria; Bacillati; Actinomycetota; Actinomycetes; Kitasatosporales; Streptomycetaceae. The record is from RNAcentral.